Molecule: long non-coding RNA, 237 nt
Filed under: Panax ginseng (ginseng)
Lineage: Eukaryota; Viridiplantae; Streptophyta; Magnoliopsida; Apiales; Araliaceae
Description: long non-coding RNA (PGIN_LNC010760)
Source: RNAcentral
UACAUAAAUCCAUAGAAAACACAUAGAUCUUAAGGGUUUGAACAUCCAAAUCAAAACCCCCUUUCAUAAAAAUUCCAUAGAAAGAGAUUAGAGAGAGAUGUUAUACCUUUCUUUUCUUCUCCUUCUUCCUUCUUCUUCAUGGAGAUCCUUCCAUCUCCUCCUCUUCCCACACAAGGGCUUCGGCCACUUCCCUUUUCUCUCCCUCUCUUCCUCCCAUUUCUUCUUUCUCUCCCUUUC